UACGAAGGGGGCUAGCGUUGCUCGGAAUCACUGGGCGUAAAGGGUGCGUAGGCGGGUUAUUAAGUCAGAGGUGAAAUCCUGGAGCUCAACUCCAGAACUGCCUUUGAUACUGAUAGUCUUGAGUAUGGGAGAGGUGAGUGGAAUUCCCAGUGUAGAGGUGAAAUUCGUAGAUAUUGGGAAGAACACCAGUGGCGAAGGCGGCUCACUGGCCCGUAACUGACGCUGAGGUGCGAAAGCGUGGGGAGCAAACAGG
RNAcentral lists this ribosomal RNA (253 nucleotides) under uncultured bacterium. RNAcentral describes it as "partial 16S ribosomal RNA". It matches the Rfam family "Bacterial small subunit ribosomal RNA", at positions 524 to 776 of the family's 1533-position model. The record is from RNAcentral.